AGUCUGAGCGAAGGAGGAGCUCUUCGUCCUCACCCGACAGCAACGUAUUUAUUUCUCUCUCUCUCUCUCUCUCUCUCUCUCUCUCUCUCUCUCUCUCUCUCUCUCUCUCUCUCUCUCUCUCUCUCUCUGUUUGUAAUAAACACAUCACACACACGCACCCGCUUGCACACGGAGACAGGGAGUGGUCGACUGAAUCCUGGACAUAGUUUUGGACUGAUAACUUCCUCUCCAAAUUCACUCUCCAGAGGAACAGGCAUGGCGGUUGCGGUGUGCCGGGAUCUGACAGUGCAGGUGCUGGAGGACGUGAACGCUGCCAAGCUGACGGACAGACAGCAGGCUCUGCGUGCUGCCAUCCAGAGAGGAGAGCCCAAAUGUCUGGGGGUGAGUCAGGUGAUGUUGGGGCUGAUGGUCAUGUCCUACUCCAUCCCUCUGCUCUUCACUGAGGUCACUGAGGUGGUGCUGCUGGGGGUCCCUUGGUGGAGCGGCCUGAUGUUCAUCACAGCAGGAGUGGUCACUAUCGUCCUGGACAAACACUGCACCAUGAAGAUCCUGCGAGUGUGUUUGGUGGUGACCAUGGUGUCCACUGUGCUGUCAGUGGUGGCUCUAAUCAUCUACUCUGUGGACAUGGGCAAGAAUCCUGCAGUGCCCUGUGUCAAAGAUCCGGAUGACAACUGCGAGCAGCACCUCGCCGCACGAGUUGAUGAAAUCGGAGAGUCAGGAUGCCUCCAGUGUUCGGCUGUGCACACUGUCUGUACCAUUGCCUACUCCAUUGUAGACUGAUAGACGAAUAAGUUCUAAAUUGCGGACCCACGAUGGAACUGUAAUGAACUGUAGUGCUGUAUGGUGAGUAGAUUACAAUGCCCUGGGCGGGCAGAGGUAUCUUCGCUGUCCACCUCUCUUCCUGCUGUUUGAGAGAAGCUCGGCCACCAGAGAGAGCAGACAGUUCAUCCAAACUCUGGACUUUAAUAAUCUAGCCCUGCCUGUUCAUAGUUCACUAUUCAACGUAAACAGUCACUCAGUGCGUUGGUCCAUUUAAUUCUUAAUACAUCCCAAAAAAAGAAUUAACAUUAAAGUUACACGGCUCACAUUUUCAAACACUUAGUGCGUGAUGACUGUAGACGUGCUGUGUGAUGUGUGUGAAGGCAAAGAGAACAGUCUUUACAGCAUAGAAGAAAAACAACACCACUUCAAAAACCACCUCUCAUUCUGGUUUGUUUCUUCGCAGCAAAUAUGGAAAACAUUGUUAAGGAUAAUAACUGAAAAUAAAAAUGAUUGUCCAAGUUAAAGUAUUAGAAAGUGCCAGUGAUGUGGUGUGGGUGUCAUCGCAUGAGGACAGUCUGAACUGGGGGGGUCAUAUCAAUGAAACACUGUGUUUCUUUCCAACAGCGGCUGGGCAGAGGACUGAAGACAUCCCUCCUCAUCUUCACCCUGGCCCAGACCGCCAUCUCGGCCGUCCUCUGCUUCCUGCUCUUCAGGCAGAGACACGGAUUCGGACAGUACUCUUCUCUCACUACUCCUGUACCAGCAACCUCCACAGCACUGAUCCCCCCCGAGCUGAACUGAUCAGUAAAUGGCCCCCCGUCUGUUCCAGAGGUGACUGAUCACCUGUGUGUUUGCUUCCACUGCGUCUAUGUGCUCAUACCCAUGACUUAUCCACAGAUCUGCCUGAUAUGUCAGCAGGAGACAUGUCCUCUGUCCGUUUUGUUAGGAAUGUAGAUUUGAUUAUUGCUACACGUCAGCCAAAUGAUUCAGAAGGCAAGGCAAGUUUAUUUGUAUAGCACCUUUCAAGACACAGCAAUUCAAAGUGCUUUACAAAAAAUAAAAGACUUAAAUGGCAUUUAAAAAGCAAAGAUAGUAAAAUAAACACAACAGGUAUACAAUACAUGAAUAAAAGCCAGACUGCAAUGUAACAUAUGAACAGCUCAAUCAAAACCAGCGGCAAAAAAAAAUGUUUUCAGCCUGGAAUUACAAGUAGUAAGAGUUUGUUCCAGAUAUUUGAAUCAUAAUAACUGAACGCUGCUUCUCCAUGUUUAGUUUUGACUCAGACAGAAAGUUUACCCGUUCCAGAAGACCUGAGAGUUCUGGAUGGUUCAUAAUGUAGCAGGAGAUCAGAAAUGUAUUUUGGGCCUAAACCAUUCAAUGCUUUAUAAACCAGCAGCAGAACUUUGAAAUCAAUUCUUUGACAGACAGGAAGCCAGUGUAAAGACCUCAGAACUGGAGUGAUGUGAUCCACUCUCUUAGUGUUAGUGAGGACAAGAGUCGCAGCGUUCUGAAUCAGCUGCAGCUUUCUAAUGAAUAGACCUGUAAAGACGCCAUUACAGUAGUCCAGUCUACUAAAGAUAAAAGCAUGGACAAGUUUUUCCAGAUCCUUAUUUGACAUGAGUCUAGAGAAUUUAAAUACUGGGCUGCUUUAAAAGCAAACAUUAGGGAAGAAAUAACCACUGUUUAACAUUAACAACAUUAAAGAAAGGAUAUCUCAUUCUGAUUUUCUCCUUUGAUAAAAGUAUUACAUCACACUUUUGUGGCCCAAAACUUUGACCAUGUAUCCUGGCACUGUCUGGAACAACGUCAGGAACAGCAUGCACAGUGCAGCCUGUGUACAAGAAGUGGUUGCCAUCUUCUAUGCGACAGAGAUAGAAAAAGCAGGAAACAUUACAAGUCUCCACUGUCCUAUCCGAUUAAAGGCAAAAAGCCCCCAAAAAAUAUCUUAAAAAAAACCAAAACAUUUAUCAUUGGAUAGAGUUUUUUACAAGCAUGCUCAUUAGUCAAGUGUUUUCUGAAGAGGACUUAUAAUAUGAUUUAAGGCACCUGUAGUAGCUAGUAAGUGGAUUGCAAAUUAGGCCAACUUAAAGAAUUAACUGUCAUACUUAAAAACUGAAUUGUCUUGUAUGUGGACUAGCAGUGGUCACGAUAAGGAAACAUCAGCUCUAUCCCACGCUGCACUCAACACUGAGCUCUGACUGGCUUUCUGAAUCUGAAGGUGUUCAUGGUGUCAUGGUGUUUUGGAACAGAUGGUGUGUAUUUUCACUUGCACUGCUUUUGUUUUUUAACACUAUUUACAAAGUGUCAAUCUUUGAUAUAUUUUUGUCUAUUUCCCACAAAAUUAUGUACAUAAAUAUAAAUAAAGUUGUGGCCCAGUGAGUUACAUUUUGUGAAACACA
Molecule: RNA transcript, 3161 nt
Organism: Eleginops maclovinus (Patagonian blennie)
Lineage: Eukaryota; Metazoa; Chordata; Actinopteri; Perciformes; Eleginopidae
Gene: tmem176
Gene name: transmembrane protein 176
Exons: 7
Source: RefSeq, a predicted model, not a curated record